RNAcentral lists this non-coding RNA (30 nucleotides) under Actinoplanes sp. SE50/110. Lineage: Bacteria; Bacillati; Actinomycetota; Actinomycetes; Micromonosporales; Micromonosporaceae. The record is from RNAcentral.
GUCUGGUCGUGGCGCACGAUCGCCGACCAC